GUCCACGCCCUAAACGAUGUCAACUGGUUGUUGGGGAGUGAAAUCCCUUAGUAACGAAGCUAACGCGUGAAGUUGACCGCCUGGGGAGUACGGUCGCAAGAUUAAAACUCAAAGGAAUUGACGGGGACCCGCACAAGCGGUGGAUGAUGUGGAUUAAUUCGAUGCAACGCGAAAACCUUACCUACCCUUGACAUGUCCAGAAUCCUGCAGAGAUGCGGGAGUGCCCGAAAGGGAAUUGGAACACAGGUGCUGCAUGGCUGUCGU
RNAcentral lists this ribosomal RNA (264 nucleotides) under uncultured bacterium. Its description in RNAcentral is "partial 16S ribosomal RNA". It matches the Rfam family "Bacterial small subunit ribosomal RNA", at positions 793 to 1055 of the family's 1533-position model. The record is from RNAcentral.